UUCUUCUUGUCAAAGAACUGCUCUGUUGAUCUUUCUUUCAAACAACAGACAAGGGUUGCGCCCGUUGCCAGGAUUUAACCUGACACCUCACGGCACGAGCUGACGACAGCCAUGCAGCACCUGCAUAAGGAUGCUUCUUUAAUACUAUUCUGUCUAAAGCUUUCAAAGAAAUCUCUUUCCUAAAUUAUCCUACUAGUCUAGAACUGGUAAGGUUCUGCGCGUUGCUUCGCAUUAAACCACAUGCUCCACCGCUUGUUCAAGCCUCCGUCAAUUUCUUUGAAUUUCAACCUUGCGGUCGUACUACUCAGGCGGAAUGUUUAACGCGUUAACUCUAACAAAGACACUUCCGGCCAUUGUUUAACAUUCAUCGUUUACGGCGUGGACUAC
Molecule: unclassified non-coding RNA, 387 nt
Filed under: uncultured bacterium
Lineage: Bacteria
Description: contains 16S-23S intergenic spacer region
Source: RNAcentral